UUUUAUGGAGAGUUUGAUCCUGGCUCAGGAUGAACGCUGGCGGCGUGCCUAAUACAUGCAAGUCGAGCGAACGGACGAGAAGCUUGCUUCUCUGAUGUUAGCGGCGGACGGGUGAGUAACACGUGGAUAACCUACCUAUAAGACUGGGAUAACUUCGGGAAACCGGAGCUAAUACCGGAUAAUAUUUUGAACCGCAUGGUUCAAAAGUGAAAGACGGUCUUGCUGUCACUUAUAGAUGGAUCCGCGCUGCAUUAGCUAGUUGGUAAGGUAACGGCUUACCAAGGCAACGAUGCAUAGCCGACCUGAGAGGGUGAUCGGCCACACUGGAACUGAGACACGGUCCAGACUCCUACGGGAGGCAGCAGUAGGGAAUCUUCCGCAAUGGGCGAAAGCCUGACGGAGCAACGCCGCGUGAGUGAUGAAGGUCUUCGGAUCGUAAAACUCUGUUAUUAGGGAAGAACAUAUGUGUAAGUAACUGUGCACAUCUUGACGGUACCUAAUCAGAAAGCCACGGCUAACUACGUGCCAGCAGCCGCGGUAAUACGUAGGUGGCAAGCGUUAUCCGGAAUUAUUGGGCGUAAAGCGCGCGUAGGCGGUUUUUUAAGUCUGAUGUGAAAGUCCACGGCUCAACCGUGGAGGGUCAUUGGAAACUGGAAAACUUGAGUGCAGAAGAGGAAAGUGGAAUUCCAUGUGUAGCGGUGAAAUGCGCAGAGAUAUGGAGGAACACCAGUGGCGAAGGCGACUUUCUGGUCUGUAACUGACGCUGAUGUGCGAAAGCGUGGGGAUCAAACAGGAUUAGAUACCCUGGUAGUCCACGCCGUAAACGAUGAGUGCUAAGUGUUAGGGGGUUUCCGCCCCUUAGUGCUGCAGCUAACGCAUUAAGCACUCCGCCUGGGGAGUACGACCGCAAGGUUGAAACUCAAAGGAAUUGACGGGGACCCGCACAAGCGGUGGAGCAUGUGGUUUAAUUCGAAGCAACGCGAAGAACCUUACCAAAUCUUGACAUCCUUUGACAACUCUAGAGAUAGAGCCUUCCCCUUCGGGGGACAAAGUGACAGGUGGUGCAUGGUUGUCGUCAGCUCGUGUCGUGAGAUGUUGGGUUAAGUCCCGCAACGAGCGCAACCCUUAAGCUUAGUUGCCAUCAUUAAGUUGGGCACUCUAAGUUGACUGCCGGUGACAAACCGGAGGAAGGUGGGGAUGACGUCAAAUCAUCAUGCCCCUUAUGAUUUGGGCUACACACGUGCUACAAUGGACAAUACAAAGGGCAGCGAAACCGCGAGGUCAAGCAAAUCCCAUAAAGUUGUUCUCAGUUCGGAUUGUAGUCUGCAACUCGACUACAUGAAGCUGGAAUCGCUAGUAAUCGUAGAUCAGCAUGCUACGGUGAAUACGUUCCCGGGUCUUGUACACACCGCCCGUCACACCACGAGAGUUUGUAACACCCGAAGCCGGUGGAGUAACCUUUUAGGAGCUAGCCGUCGAAGGUGGGACAAAUGAUUGGGGUGAAGUCGUAACAAGGUAGCCGUAUCGGAAGGUGCGGCUGGAUCACCUCCUUUCUAA
Molecule: ribosomal RNA, 1557 nt
Filed under: Staphylococcus aureus
Lineage: Bacteria; Bacillati; Bacillota; Bacilli; Caryophanales; Staphylococcaceae
Also listed under: 1 other name
Description: 16S ribosomal RNA
Rfam family: Bacterial small subunit ribosomal RNA
Source: RNAcentral